UACGUAGGUGGCAAGCGUUAUCCGGAUUUAUUGGGCGUAAAGGGAACGCAGGCGGUCUUUUAAGUCUGAUGUGAAAGCCUUCGGCUUAACCGGAGCAGUGCAUUGGAAACUGGGAGACUUGAGUGCAGAAGAGGAGAGUGGAACUCCAUGUGUAGCGGUGAAAUGCGUAGAUAUUAGGAGGAACACCAGUGGCGAAGGCGGCAUACUGGACGGCAACUGACGCUGAGGCUCGAAAGCGUGGGGAGCAAACAGG
Molecule: ribosomal RNA, 253 nt
Filed under: uncultured bacterium
Lineage: Bacteria
Description: partial 16S ribosomal RNA
Rfam family: Bacterial small subunit ribosomal RNA
Source: RNAcentral